UACGACUACAUAUCAGGCAUAUCAAUAAGCGGAGGAAAAGCGGAUCAUCCAGCAGACGCUGCUGCAGUGCGGUGGCAACCGCACGCUGGCUAUGGAGCGUUUGGGCCCGUCGAAAACCGUAUUUUACGGCAAAUUAAAGGAGUAUCAGAUCAGUUGAUGUUCCGAAAUGCGGAUAUGAGUCCCGAAAAUAGGAAAGCGAGUUCUGGAAUCGGGUCUCACUUUGCUUUUUUACGUAGCAAGGUAAGAAAAGAUUCUCACGGUAGUGAGAAUUGCGGGAUUAGAGGAAAAAUUCCUCGGUUAAAGUGUCGAAACCGGACGCAUUUUUUGUGAGCUAUUCCAAAUUUAAUGGGGAAUAGCUAUUUUGGCACAAAAAUUGCUAUAUAAUAGGUUGAGCAAAAAAGACGAAACGAGUUCCGAAAAAGGAGUGUAUCGAAGUAUGAAGUUCUGGAAAAUGAACGGAGCUGGCAACGACUUUGUUAUUAUCAACAAUAUGGACGGUGCCAUCAGCGCCGAUCAGUACGGCAUCAUUGCAAAAACGCUGUGUGAGCGGCAUAUGUCUAUUGGUGCGGACGGUAUGAUGUUUGUGGAGAGGCCUCACGGUGAAGCCGAUUACCGGAUGGCAUUCUAUAACUCCGACGGCAGCAUGGGUGAGAUGUGCGGCAAUGGCGCCCGCUGCAUCUGCCGCUACGGCUACGAGAUGGGUCUGGCCGGCGAAGUGCAGACGGUGGAGACGACCGCCGGUGUGGUGGUGGGUCACCGUAUCGACCAGCGUCUGUAUCGCGUCCGCCUGAACGAUCCCACUGUGCUGAGGGUGAACUAUCCCGUGGAGCUGGACGGCACCAUGCGCGAGUGCGCUUAUGUGGAGCUGGGCAAUCCCGGCAUUCCCCACGCGGUAGUGCCCAUUCAGGGUCUGGCUGACUUCCCCGAGCGGCUGCUCUUCGACCUGGGCCGCAAGCUGCGCUAUCACGAGGCAUUCCCCAAGGGUGCCAACGUCAACUUCUAUGAGAUCACCGGUGAGGACGAGGUGUUUGAGCGUACCUACGAGCGCGGCGUGGAGGACUUUACCUACGCUUAGGAUGUUGAGCGCAUGUCUCUCUC
RNAcentral lists this ribosomal RNA (1098 nucleotides) under uncultured Neocallimastigales. RNAcentral's name for it is "partial large subunit ribosomal RNA". Lineage: Eukaryota; Fungi; Neocallimastigomycota; Neocallimastigomycetes; Neocallimastigales. The record is from RNAcentral.